CCACUAAAUAGCUAGCCUCAUCAAGUAUAACCUAUUAAUGAUUAAAAACUCUCAAUACAUUUGAAUAAAUCAUUUUACCCCAGAGUAUGGGCGACAGAAAAGGAAAAAAGAGCAACAGAUAAAGUACCGCAAGGGAAUGCUGAAAGAGAAAUGAAAUAAAUCAAUUAAGUAUUAAAUAGCAGAGAUUACCCCUCGUACCUUUUGCAUCAUGAUUUAGCAAGUAAAAUGCAAGCAAAGAGACCUUUAGUUUGUAACCCCGAAACUGAGCGAGCUACUCCAGGACAGCCUAUUAUUAGGGCAAACCCGUCUCUGUGGCAAAAGAGUGGGAAGAUCUUUGGGUAGAGGUGACAAACCUACCGAGCACAGUAAUAGCUGGUUGCCUGGGAAUUGAAUAGAAGUUCAGCCCUUUAAGUUUUCCUAACCACACAAGCAACGCUCACACUGGUAAAGAUAGCUAAAGGAGUUAGUCAGAAAGGGUACAGCCUUCCUGACAAGAGACACAACUUUUACAGGUGACACAAGAUCAUA
This 528-nucleotide ribosomal RNA is filed under the name Urophycis regia (spotted codling). Its description in RNAcentral is "partial 16S ribsomal RNA". The stretch from base 178 to 528 matches the Rfam family "Bacterial large subunit ribosomal RNA", at positions 569 to 1050 of the family's 2925-position model. Lineage: Eukaryota; Metazoa; Chordata; Actinopteri; Gadiformes; Phycidae. The record is from RNAcentral.